This 301-nucleotide ribosomal RNA is filed under the name uncultured bacterium. RNAcentral's name for it is "partial 16S ribosomal RNA". It matches the Rfam family "Bacterial small subunit ribosomal RNA", at positions 509 to 807 of the family's 1533-position model. The record is from RNAcentral.
CAGCCGCCACGGUAAUACGUAGGUGACAAGCGUUGUCCGGAACUAUUGGGCGUAAAGGGCUCGCAGGCGGUUUCUUAAGUCUGAUGUGAAAGCCCCCGGCUCAACCGGGGAGGGUCAUUGGAAACUGGGAAACUUGAGUGCAGAAGAGGAGAGUGGAAUUCCACGUGUAGCGGUGAAAUGCGUAGAGAUGUGGAGGAACACCAGUGGCGAAGGCGACUCUCUGGUCUGUAACUGACGCUGGGGAGCGAAAGCGUGGGGAGCGAACAGGAUUAGAUACCCCAGUAGUCCCUGUCUCUUAUAC